Long non-coding RNA from Raphanus sativus (radish), 1878 nucleotides. RefSeq lists it as uncharacterized. The transcript is spliced from 2 exons. NCBI's taxonomy places the organism in Eukaryota, Viridiplantae, Streptophyta, Magnoliopsida, Brassicales, Brassicaceae. The record is from RefSeq and is a predicted model, not a curated record.
UCCAAAGCUUUGUUCUCAAUUUUUUUAGAUUCAAAUAAACUUAAGAGAGUGUAUAACAGAUGCGUUGACAAGGCUAGAGUAGUAGAUUAAGCUUAACUAGUUUCUUCUAUCAUCUUCUCAGGUUUCUUUGAUACUAUUAUUACUAUAUCAUUAAUUCAUGCAAAUUUUAAUAUUCUAACUGAAAAGAAAAAAAGGUGACUAAAUUCACAUUCUUUAGUUGUGGAACCUUUUUUUAUCUUUAGUUUUUGUCAACAUUUCACAUCCUCUUUAUAAAAAAAGAAGCACUUAUUUCUAAAGCGGUGGAAAAAGACAGGACUAAAACUUUCGGUUAAAGAUGUCUUCCCUUCGAUUCUGCUUAUCUUAUCUGAUUUGACCCAUCAGAUCUAUGCUUAGUUUCGAUUAUUCAAUUUUUUAAACCAAAGCACUGUUUAGUGAUGAAGUUGUCGCAGCAAGCGAUCAACUGCUUGUAUUAGCUAGAUUGAAUUAUAGUUUGAUCGAAGCAGGAUGGUUUUCGUAAACAAUCUGGAUAGGGACAUGUCUUUAGCCAUGCCUUCUUGUCUUGAUGACCCAUCAGAUCUUGUCCGGACAAGUGGCUGUCUCACGCUCCUGGCGACACUUUGUGAUCAAGCAGAGUCUCUCCAAGAACUUGUGUUUGAAGUUGUCCACCAGCUAACUAGCGUUCCGUAUACUAGAAACAAGUAAUGAAGAAUCCCUAGGGCCAAGCAGCAGUCUCAUGGAGGAUAAGUAUUAUGGUGGAUUUUAAUUAAAAGGCUACCUGAAAGAGAGCACAUGGCUCCUUUCAAAAGCUGUAUUAUGUUGCUCUUUUUCGAUUUUAAUUACUUUUGAGUAUUAUGGUGGAUUUUAAUUAAAAAGGUCACAUCUUUUUUAAUGUUGGGUUUUGCAUUUGCAGGGAUUAAGUACAGUUUCUCCAAGAACCGGCGCUUGAAGUUCUUCAACAUCCUAACUAGCGUGGAUCGUAUAAUAGAACCAAGCAGUGAUAUAAAUGAAGCUGGGUCAAGCAGCAGUCUCAUUGAUGAUACAACAAGGCUACUAGAGAGAGAGAUCACAAGGUUUAUGCGUGUUAUUGGCUAAAAGAUGCACAUCCUCUCAUAUCAAAAGCUUUAUUGAAGAUGCCAUUAUGGCUUCUAGCACUGACAAUUUCCCAGCUGAGAGCAUCUUGAAGACACUCUACGAAAGAGAUAGAAUCGGUGACACCCCAACAUUCAGCGAUUAAACUAAUGUCAAAGUCAUAAAGCAUACAUGGGUCUACAUGCCUUAAUGCUUUAUGACUUUGACAUUAGUUUUUGCAGUGUGUCGCAUGUGGAAGUGAUGGGAAGAUCACUAGCAAAAUCGUUUCAGGUGGCGGAUCCGGAUGACUCAGGAAAGUUCGGGUUGAAGGUGCUGAGUUACAGUGAUCCGCAAGAAACGGAUGAGAAGGAAGCAGAGGCGGGGCAAAGUACGUUUAGGCCAAUGAGAAACCUCGAACAGCUCUUGAAAUUUCUGCACCGGCGUCUUGCAGACGUCAAGUAUGUGUGGCCUGAAUCAGAUUCAGAUGUGGAGGUUUAGAGUAUCUGAAUGGAGUGGGAGGUUUUUCUAUUAAUUGUGGCUUUGCUUCUGUUGUUAAAGAAUCAGAGAGGUGCAUGAGCGGUUUUUGAAAGCUUCUUCUCCAGCCAUUUUGGCCCUAGGCUCUCUCUCCUUCCCUUGCUGUGUGUUGUAGAGGUUGCCAGUGUUGCGAAAUAAUAACUUACUAGGUGAUAAUCCGCGCCCUGCGCGGAGUGAGAUUAUUUAAGAAACGAUCAUAUUUUAUGGAAAGAAAGAAUGAAUUUUGAAGCCAUAAAAAAAUUAAAAAUCACAGGAAUAUUUUUAUUUAUUUGUAAA